GCAGAUGUAGCUCAGUGGUAGAGUGUAACCUUGCCAAGGUUAAUGUCGUGGGUUCGAAUCCCAUUAUCUGCU
Molecule: transfer RNA, 72 nt
Filed under: Phacus arnoldii
Lineage: Eukaryota; Euglenozoa; Euglenophyceae; Euglenales; Phacaceae
Description: tRNA-Gly
Rfam family: tRNA
About the family: Transfer RNA (tRNA) molecules are approximately 80 nucleotides in length. Their secondary structure includes four short double-helical elements and three loops (D, anti-codon, and T loops).
Source: RNAcentral